GAGAGACCAGAGGGACCACAGGAAGAGUUGGUGGGAAAGAAAUCAGAACAAAAACAAUGCAGCUUCCCUCUACUGCUCGGUGAAACCUUCCACAGAGAGUGUGUCCUUCUCCCAGGUGCCUGGUAUGCUGCAGUCGUACUGGCGAUACACAAGGGUGGGGAAGAACUGGGCAAUUGUCCUGUGCUGAGGAACUUUUUACCUGGGUGAAACUUUCCGGUCCGAAGAGCAGAGAGGAGGUUACCAGCAUGGAGUUACCUGAGUGACAGAGCCUCCAGGUUUGGGAAAACCAGCCCCUGGCAAGUGGCUGUGGUGAAGACUCUCUUUUGUCUCCAAAUGCUAAUAGUUCUGGAUUCAAAAUCUUUUUUUCUCUUUGACUGGACCCGGAUAUAAUAAAACAAGAAACUUACAGCAUAUAAUUUGGCAUUUUACUGGUAUGGGAAGCUCACAAAAAUUUUGUUCUCCCUGACAAGGCUCAGCUAAUUCUAUCAAAAUAAAUCUCUGGAGGAAAAAAAAAAGCUCUCUUUGAAAGACUAUGAGAAGCCCUUUCAAGAAUAAAAAUAACACUUAAAACCGA
Molecule: long non-coding RNA, 574 nt
Organism: Mus musculus (house mouse)
Lineage: Eukaryota; Metazoa; Chordata; Mammalia; Rodentia; Muridae
Product: predicted gene, 46582
Exons: 2
Source: RefSeq, a predicted model, not a curated record